RNAcentral lists this ribosomal RNA (1645 nucleotides) under Escherichia coli. Its description in RNAcentral is "partial 23S ribosomal RNA". It matches the Rfam family "Bacterial large subunit ribosomal RNA", at positions 1291 to 2915 of the family's 2925-position model. Lineage: Bacteria; Pseudomonadati; Pseudomonadota; Gammaproteobacteria; Enterobacterales; Enterobacteriaceae. The record is from RNAcentral.
CGAAUGCUGACAUAAGUAACGAUAAAGCGGGUGAAAAGCCCGCUCGCCGGAAGACCAAGGGUUCCUGUCCAACGUUAAUCGGGGCAGGGUGAGUCGACCCCUAAGGCGAGGCCGAAAGGCGUAGUCGAUGGGAAACAGGUUAAUAUUCCUGUACUUGGUGUUACUGCGAAGGGGGGACGGAGAAGGCUAUGUUGGCCGGGCGACGGUUGUCCCGGUUUAAGCGUGUAGGCUGGUUUUCCAGGCAAAUCCGGAAAAUCAAGGCUGAGGCGUGAUGACGAGGCACUACGGUGCUGAAGCAACAAAUGCCCUGCUUCCAGGAAAAGCCUCUAAGCAUCAGGUAACAUCAAAUCGUACCCCAAACCGACACAGGUGGUCAGGUAGAGAAUACCAAGGCGCUUGAGAGAACUCGGGUGAAGGAACUAGGCAAAAUGGUGCCGUAACUUCGGGAGAAGGCACGCUGAUAUGUAGGUGAAGUCCCUCGCGGAUGGAGCUGAAAUCAGUCGAAGAUACCAGCUGGCUGCAACUGUUUAUUAAAAACACAGCACUGUGCAAACACGAAAGUGGACGUAUACGGUGUGACGCCUGCCCGGUGCCGGAAGGUUAAUUGAUGGGGUCAGCGCAAGCGAAGCUCUUGAUCGAAGCCCCGGUAAACGGCGGCCGUAACUAUAACGGUCCUAAGGUAGCGAAAUUCCUUGUCGGGUAAGUUCCGACCUGCACGAAUGGCGUAAUGAUGGCCAGGCUGUCUCCACCCGAGACUCAGUGAAAUUGAACUCGCUGUGAAGAUGCAGUGUACCCGCGGCAAGACGGAAAGACCCCGUGAACCUUUACUAUAGCUUGACACUGAACAUUGAGCCUUGAUGUGUAGGAUAGGUGGGAGGCUUUGAAGUGUGGACGCCAGUCUGCAUGGAGCCGACCUUGAAAUACCACCCUUUAAUGUUUGAUGUUCUAACGUUGACCCGUGAUCCGGGUUGCGGACAGUGUCUGGUGGGUAGUUUGACUGGGGCGGUCUCCUCCUAAAGAGUAACGGAGGAGCACGAAGGUUGGCUAAUCCUGGUCGGACAUCAGGAGGUUAGUGCAAUGGCAUAAGCCAGCUUGACUGCGAGCGUGACGGCGCGAGCAGGUGCGAAAGCAGGUCAUAGUGAUCCGGUGGUUCUGAAUGGAAGGGCCAUCGCUCAACGGAUAAAAGGUACUCCGGGGAUAACAGGCUGAUACCGCCCAAGAGUUCAUAUCGACGGCGGUGUUUGGCACCUCGAUGUCGGCUCAUCACAUCCUGGGGCUGAAGUAGGUCCCAAGGGUAUGGCUGUUCGCCAUUUAAAGUGGUACGCGAGCUGGGUUUAGAACGUCGUGAGACAGUUCGGUCCCUAUCUGCCGUGGGCGCUGGAGAACUGAGGGGGGCUGCUCCUAGUACGAGAGGACCGGAGUGGACGCAUCACUGGUGUUCGGGUUGUCAUGCCAAUGGCACUGCCCGGUAGCUAAAUGCGGAAGAGAUAAGUGCUGAAAGCAUCUAAGCACGAAACUUGCCCCGAGAUGAGUUCUCCCUGACCCUUUAAGGGUCCUGAAGGAACGUUGAAGACGACGACGUUGAUAGGCCGGGUGUGUAAGCGCAGCGAUGCGUUGAGCUAACCGGUACUAAUGAACCGUGAGG